AACGAACGCUGGCGGCAUGCCUAACACAUGCAAGUCGAACGAGACCUUCGUGUCUAGUUGCGCACGGGGGCGUAGCGCGUGGGAACCUGCCCGUAGGUUCGGAAUACCUCCCCGUCAGGGGUGCUAAUGCCGGAUAAUGUCUGCGAACAAGAGAUCCAUCGCCUUUGGAUGGGCCGGAGUUGGUUUAGCUUGUUGCUAUGGUAAAAGCCUAUCACGGCGAGGAUCGAUAGCGGGGCUGAGAGGAUGAGCCGCCACACUGGGACUAGGACACGGCGCGGACUCCUACGGGAGGCGGGAGUGCGGAAUAUUGGACAACCGGGGAGGGGCUGAAGCAGCAAGGCCGCGUGAGUGAUGUAGGUCGUAGGGAUGUAAAGCACUUUUAUCCGGGAUGAUAAUGACAGUACCGGGAGAAUAAGCACCGGCUAACUUCGUG
This 433-nucleotide ribosomal RNA is filed under the name uncultured bacterium. Its description in RNAcentral is "partial 16S ribosomal RNA". It matches the Rfam family "Bacterial small subunit ribosomal RNA", at positions 29 to 507 of the family's 1533-position model. The record is from RNAcentral.